RNAcentral lists this long non-coding RNA (426 nucleotides) under Helianthus annuus (common sunflower). RNAcentral describes it as "hypothetical non coding rna". The record is from RNAcentral. Lineage: Eukaryota; Viridiplantae; Streptophyta; Magnoliopsida; Asterales; Asteraceae.
GAUGGUGGAUGUACUUUUACAAAGUUCAGUUUGUUAUUAACUUAUCGAACUGAGCUUCAUGUCUUUGUGAAGUUUGAAGUGUUCAAGGUUGGGCAUUGGAAAUCCAAUGUUUCUUUCUGCUACCGGUUAGGUUUGAAGAUUAAUGUAUCGAGCGAUAUUCCUACAUGUGGUUGUAGGUCGGUUCGCGUUAAUUUGAUUCGGGAGUAGUUUGAGGGGGAGGAUCUACAGUGUUUGAUGUUGGAUUCUUCGGCGGCCUUAAGUGAUCGUCAGCAAGUCUUUAAUUAGAAGGGUUGAAGAUCGCUGUGCUCUACCUAAAAGAUCAAGUCUCAGCCAAAGUUGAAAGCUGACAUGAUAUCUUCAGUUAAAGGGGAGUCUCUAAGUGCAGUAUCCGGGGAUUGAAGAUUAUCGAUGCCACACAGAACUGAU